AGGGCGCACGGUGGAUGCCUUGGUACUAGGAGCCGAAGAAGGACGGAACUAACACCGAUAUGCUUUGGGGAGCUGUAAGUAAGCUAAGAUCCAAAGAUUUCCGAAUGGGGGAACCCAGCACCUUUCAUAGGGUGUUACCAAUGAGUGAAUACAUAGCUCAUUAGGAGGUACACGCAGGGAACUGAAACAUCUCAUUACCUGCAGGAAGAGAAAGAAAAAUCGAUUCCCUGAGUAGCGGCGAGCGAAACGGGAGGAGCCCAAACCAACGAGCUUGCUUGUUGGGGUUGUAGGACUAGAACGUGAGAAGACAUCAAGAUAGCAGAAGUGGUCUGGAAAGGCCCAUCACAGAAGGUGACAAUCCUGUACGCGACAUCUUGACGAACUCUACUAGCAUCCUGAGUACGGCGGGACACGAGGAAUCCCGUCGGAAUCCGCCAGGACCAUCUGGCAAGGCUAAAUACUACCUAGUGACCGAUAGUGAACCAGUACCGUGAGGGAAAGGUGAAAAGAACCCCGGGAGGGGAGUGAAAGAGUACCUGAAACCGUGUGCUUACAAGUAGUCAGAGCCCGUUAAUGGGUGAUGGCGUGCCUUUUGUAGAAUGAACCGGCGAGUUACGUUUACAUGCGAGGUUAAGAUGAAGAGUCGGAGCCGUAGCGAAAGCGAGUCUGAAUAGGGCGCAUGAAGUAUGUGGACGUAGACCCGAAACCAAGUGAUCUACCCAUGUCCAGGUUGAAGGUGCGGUAAAACGCACUGGAGGACCGAACCAGGGCACGUUGAAAAGUGCUUGGAUGACUUGUGGGUAGCGGAGAAAUUCCAAACGAACUUGGAGAUAGCUGGUUCUCUCCGAAAUAGCUUUAGGGCUAGCGUCGACAUUAGAGAUUCUUGGAGGUAGAGCACUGUUUGGGUGAGGGGUCCAUCCCGGAUUACCAAUCUCAGAUAAACUCCGAAUGCCAAAGAAUUAUGGUCGGCAGUCAGACUGCGAGUGCUAAGAUCCGUAGUCGAAAGGGAAACAGCCCAGACCACCAGCUAAGGUCCCAAAAUAAUUGUUAAGUGGAAAAGGAUGUGGGGUUGCACAGACAACUAGGAUGUUAGCUUAGAAGCAGCUAUUCAUUCAAAGAGUGCGUAAUAGCUCACUAGUCGAGUGACCCUGCGCCGAAAAUGUACCGGGGCUAAAACAAUUUACCGAAGCUGUGGAUACCUUUUAUAGGUAUGGUAGGAGAGCGUUCUAUGUGUGGAGAAGGUGUACCGUGAGGAGCGCUGGAACGCAUAGAAGUGAGAAUGCCGGUAUGAGUAGCGAAAGACAGGUGAGAAUCCUGUCCACCGUAAGACUAAGGUUUCCAGGGGAAGGCUCGUCCGCCCUGGGUUAGUCGGGACCUAAGGAGAGACCGAAAGGUGUAUCCGAUGGACAACAGGUUGAUAUUCCUGUACUAGAGUAUGUAGUGAUGGAGGGACGCAGUAGGCUAACUAAAGCAGACGAAUGGAAGUGUCUGUCUAAGCAGUGAGGUGUGAUAUGAGUCAAAUGCUUAUAUCUAUAACAUUGAGCUGUGAUGGGGAGCGAAGUUUAGUAGCGAAGUUAGUGACGUCACACUGCCAAGAAAAGCUUCUAGCGUUUAAACAUACUCUACCCGUACCGCAAACCGACACAGGUAGUCGAGGCGAGUAGCCUCAGGUGAGCGAGAGAACUCUCGUUAAGGAACUCGGCAAAAUGACCCCGUAACUUCGGGAGAAGGGGUGCUGGUAGCAAUACCAGCCGCAGUGAAUAGGCCCAGGCGACUGUUUAUCAAAAACACAGGUCUCUGCAAAAUCGAAAGAUGACGUAUAGGGGCUGACGCCUGCCCGGUGCUGGAAGGUUAAGAGGAGAGGUUAGCGCAAGCGAAGCUUUGAAUUGAAGCCCCAGUAAACGGCGGCCGUAACUAUAACGGUCCUAAGGUAGCGAAAUUCCUUGUCGGGUAAGUUCCGACCCGCACGAAAGGCGUAACGAUUUGGGCACUGUCUCAACGAUGGACUCGGUGAAAUCAUAGUACCUGUGAAGAUGCAGGUUACCCGCGACAGGACGGAAAGACCCCAUGGAGCUUUACUGUAGUUUGAUAUUGAGUGUUUGUGUCACAUGUACAGGAUAGGUAGGAGCUGAAGAAUCCGGGACGCCAGUUUCGGAGGAGGCAACGGUGGGAUACUACCCUUGUGACAUGACCACUCUAACCCGCACCCCUGACCGGGGUGGGAGACAGUGUCAGACGGGCAGUUUGACUGGGGCGGUCGCCUCCUAAAAUGUAACGGAGGCGCCCAAAGGUUCCCUCAGAAUGGUUGGAAAUCAUUCGAAGAGUGUAAAGGCAGAAGGGAGCUUGACUGCGAGACCAACAAGUCGAGCAGGGACGAAAGUCGGGCUUAGUGAUCCGGUGGUACCGUAUGGAAGGGCCAUCGCUCAACGGAUAAAAGCUACCCUGG
RNAcentral lists this ribosomal RNA (2446 nucleotides) under human oral metagenome. Its description in RNAcentral is "bacterial LSU rRNA". It matches the Rfam family "Bacterial large subunit ribosomal RNA", at positions 14 to 2471 of the family's 2925-position model. The record is from RNAcentral.